Molecule: ribosomal RNA, 433 nt
Filed under: uncultured bacterium
Lineage: Bacteria
Description: partial 16S ribosomal RNA
Rfam family: Bacterial small subunit ribosomal RNA
Source: RNAcentral
AACGAACGCUGGCGGCAUGCCUAACACAUGCAAGUCGAACGAGACCUUCGGGUCUAGUGGCGCACGGGUGCGUAACGCGUGGGAACCUGCCUUUAGGUUCGGAAUAACUCAGAGAAAUUUGAGCUAAUACCGGAUGAUGUCUUCGGACCAAAGAUUUAUCGCCUUUAGAUGGGCCCGCGUUGGAUUAGCUAGUUGGUGGGGUAAAGGCCUACCAAGGCGACGAUCCAUAGCUGGUCUGAGAGGAUGAUCAGCCACACUGGGACUGAGACACGGCCCAGACUCCUACGGGAGGCAGCAGUGGGGAAUAUUGGACAAUGGGCGAAGGCCUGAUCCAGCAACGCCGCGUGAGUGAUGAAGGCCUUAGGGUUGUAAAGCUCUUUUACCCGAGAUGAUAAUGACAGUAUCGGGAGAAUAAGCUCCGGCUAACUCCGUG